CCUACGGGUGGCAGCAGUGAGGAAUAUUGGUCAAUGGCCGGAAGGCUGAACCAGCCAAGCCGCGUGAAGGACGAAGGUGCCAAGCAUUGUAAACUUCUUUUGUCAAGGGACAAAAUCAGGCUCGAGAGCCUGACCGAGGGUACUUGAAGAAAAAGCAUCGGCUAACUCCGUGCCAGCAGCCGCGGUAAUACGGAGGAUGCGAGCGUUAUCCGGAUUUAUGGGGUUUAAAGGGUGCGUAGGCGGGCUGUUAAGUCAGCGGUAAAAGCCCGGGGCCCAACCCCGGCGAGCCGUUGAAACUGGCUGUCUUGAGAUGUCGAGAGGUAUGCGGAAUGCGCAGUGUAGCGGUGAAAUGCUUAGAGAUUGCGCAGAACUCCGAGUGCGAAGGCAGCAUACCGGCGGCGAUCUGACGCUGAGGCACGAAAGCGUGGGUAUCGAACAGGAUUAGAUACCCUGGUAGUC
This 459-nucleotide ribosomal RNA is filed under the name uncultured bacterium. Its description in RNAcentral is "partial 16S ribosomal RNA". It matches the Rfam family "Bacterial small subunit ribosomal RNA", at positions 338 to 795 of the family's 1533-position model. The record is from RNAcentral.